Stegostoma tigrinum is the source of this 3302-nucleotide long non-coding RNA. RefSeq lists it as uncharacterized. The record is from RefSeq and is a predicted model, not a curated record. NCBI's taxonomy places the organism in Eukaryota, Metazoa, Chordata, Chondrichthyes, Orectolobiformes, Stegostomatidae. The transcript is spliced from 3 exons.
ACAAACUGAUUUGUAAGGCUUUAUCAUGUAGCCGGGAUGUUUUUAAUCCAACAGCAUAACUCAACAUUGGUAUAAGCCAUUUUGGAUGCCAAAAGUGGACAUCUCCACAGCCUUUGAUGUUAUUGCCAUUUGCAAGUGCCCAUUCAACAGAUUGAUCUAAGAAGGAAAUGAGUCUACACAGAACUUAAUUGAUCCAUUCGGUUGAGGAGCCAAUACUCGUGAAUUCCAGCUGCUUUGACUCGGUUCAAUCAAGUGAUUUUCUAGAGAAAGGGAAAAAAAGAAUGGAACCAGAAAGACCAUCUGAUAUCAACUAAGGCACUGGUGGCUUUGCAAAGUCCUCCUUACUAACAUCUAGGGGUUUAGUGCCAAAACUGGGAGAGCUGUUUCAGACUAGUCAACAGAUUGACAAUCAUAUUUGCAAAAUCAUUCCUAACACACAAUGUCCCAGAAAGCAUCAGCCCCAUCCCUAAGUUUGUCCUGACUCACUUGCAGGACAGACCAGGAAAGGAUGGAAAUGUGGUAUACUGUGGAGAAAUUUGCCUUAGGAGUCUCAACAUUCACUCCAAAAACUGUGAAGUCUCAUGGCAUCAGUCAACAUGUGCAAGCUCUCUGAUGAAGGGUCUAGGCCUGAAACGUCAGCUUUUGUGCUCCUGAGAUGCUGCUGGGCCUGCUGUGUUCAUCCAGCCUCACAUUUUAUUAUCUAUGUGCAAGGAAACCUUCUGAUUACCACAUAUGCCCAACCUCCGGUCCAGUGAAUGAAUCAGUGCUCCCCUAUGUUGAGCUGCAACUUGGCAGAAGCACAGAAGGGGAAAGCCACAGAAUGUACUCUGGGUAGGGGACAUCAAUAUCCACUACCAAAACUGGCUCGACAGCACCACCCCACUGUCAGAGCUGUUAAGAAUCCUAAAGGACACAGCUGUUAGACUGGGUCUGCUGCGAAUGAUAACAGGGAACCAAUAAAAGAGAAAAACAUCUUGACUGUAUCUGCACCAACUUCCCAGUUGCAGAUAAACCUGUCCAUGACAGUGACAGUAAAAGUGAUCACUGUACAGUCCUUGUGGAGAAGAACCCUGUCUUCACAUUAAGUAUCACCUCAUUGUACAGUAUAGCACAAUCAAUAUGCUAAAUGGGACUUCGGACAGACUGAGCAACUCAAGACUAGGCAACCAGGAGGCACAGUGGGUCAGCAGAGAAUUGUACUCCAAUAGAAUUUCCGCUUCAUAGUCUGGCACAUCCCUUCAAUCUACCAUCGUCAUUAAGCCAGGGGACUGAAUGAAGAAUACAUGAAGACAUGUCAGGAGCAGCACUAGGCAUAUCUAAAAAUGAAGUGUCAACCUCUGAAGCUACAAUACAGGAAUACUUGCAUCCAAACAACCUAAAGGAACAAUAACUUACAGAUCAGAUGUAAGCACCGCAGUCCACCGCAGUCACAUCUAGUUGUGAAUGACAGCGGACAAGAAAAGACUAUGGAACCUGACAACAUUCUUGCAAUAGUACUGAAGUGCUAUGUUCCAGAACCUGUGCAUCCCUAGCUAAAGUUGUUCUAGUAUUGAUACAACACUGGCAGAAAACUGCAAGGUACGUUCUAUACUCACAAUAAAGUAUCCAACCCUACUAAUUACUGACACAUCAGUCUCCUUUCGAUCACAAGUAAAGAAAUAGAUGGUGUCAUCAACAGAGCUGUAAGCAGCACUUGCUUUACAAUAACCUGUGAUACUGACGUUCAGUUAAGUUUCUGCCUAUGGCUACUUAGCUCUUGACCUCAUUAUAACCCAUAGAAUCAUAGAGUUAUACAGCAUAGAAAUUGACCCUUUGAUUGAACUCAUUUUUGCUGACCAGACACUUCAAUCUGACCUAGUCCUGUCUGCCAGGAUUUGAUCGACAUCCCUCCAAAUCUUUGCUAUUCAUUUAUCCAUCCAGGUCCAAAUAUGGACAGAAGAGUUGAAUUCAGAAGUGAGGUAAGACAUCAAGGCCCCAUUUGACCAAGUGUGGUAUCAAGGAACUCUAGCAAAACUGAAGUUAAUGAGAUUUGAGGCAAACUCUCUGCUGACUGAAAUCACACCUGCCAGAAAGGAAGGUGGUUGUGGUUGUUGGAGGUCAAUCAUCUCAGCUCCAGGACAUCUCUGAAGGAAUUCUUCAAGUUCCUAAAGUCCUUGACUCAAUCAUCUUCAGUUGCUUCUUCAAUGAUCUUCCCUCUUUCAUAAGGUCAGAAGUGGGAAUGUUCACUCUUGCCUGUACACUGUUCAACUUCAUUUGUGAAUCCUCAGAUACUGAAGCAGUCAACUCCCAAACGCAGCAAGUUCUGGAAAUAUCCAGGUUUGGGCUGACAAGUAGCAGUCACAUAAUACAUUUGCCAGGCAACGACCAUAUCCAACAAGACAGAAUCUCCCCCUCGACAUUCAGUGGCAUUACCAUUACUGAAUUCUCCCACUAUUAACACCCUUGAGUCAUCAUUGACCAGAAAUUGAACUGGAUUAACCAUACAACCAUUGUGGCUACCAGAGUACGUCAGAGGCUAGGAAUAUUGCAGUUAAUAUCUCACCCUCUGACUUCUCAAAGCCCAUUCAUCGCUACAAGACAUAAGGAGAGUGAUGGAAUAUUUCCUCCACUUGCCUGGAUGAGUACAUCUCUGACAACAUUCAAGAAGCUUGACACCAUCCAGGGCAAAGCACCCUGCUUGACUUCCACCACAUCCACAAACACUCAGUCUCUCUGCCGCUGAUGUUUCAGAGCAGCAGUGUGUACUACCUAUAAGACACACUGCAGAAAUUCACCAAGUCCGCUUAGACUGCAUCUUUGAAACCCACAAUCAUUAACAUUUAAAAGUACAAGAGCAGCAGAUACACGGGAACAUCACUACCUACAGGUACCUACAAAGCUACUCACCAUCAAGAUGUUGAAAUACAUUGUUGUCCCUUCGGUGUCUCAGAGUCAAAAUCAUGGAACUCCCUACUAAUGGCAUUGUGGGUCUAUAUACAGCAAAUGGACCACAAUGGUUCAGGAACGCAGCUCACCUCUACAUUCAAGGGCAACUAGAGAUGGGCAGUAAAUGCUGGCCAGCUAGCAUUGCCCUAAUCCCGUGAAUGAACUACUUUGCAUUUCAUUGCAUUACGAGGCUUACAAUUAUUACACAUACACUUACACUGCACAAUUACACAUUCUGACAGGGCUGUCAAUGAUUACCUGCUCUUUUAAAUGGAAUGCUGAUGCAAGUCAAUUAAAAAUCAUUGACUGUUCAGAAGUCCACAAAAAGUCUACAAUUUUUGUGGUAUAUUAUUCUAUAAUGAUAAAUAAAUUAUCAC